This 297-nucleotide ribosomal RNA is filed under the name Triticum aestivum (bread wheat). Its description in RNAcentral is "partial small subunit ribosomal RNA". Lineage: Eukaryota; Viridiplantae; Streptophyta; Magnoliopsida; Poales; Poaceae. The record is from RNAcentral.
CGCAUCUUUCUAUGGCAAUGGGUGCGAGGCCGUUUACCCUCGGGCACGGAAGUUAGAAAACGGAAUGGUCCCGGGGAUGGAUUAUGCCCCCUAUGUGGCAUACCGGAAGACUCCAACCAUAUCUUCUUCCGGUACCCAUCUGUAGUCCUCCUCUGGAGCUGCAUCAGGGAGGUGAUUCGCGAUGAUUGGAACCAUGAUAACCUCCCCAAUCUAUUUCAGGUGGUCCUAAGCCAAGAGGCCAGGACGCGCCCUAGCCUAUGGGUAGUAGUGGGGACGAUAACUUGGACUCUGUGGACG